This 554-nucleotide unclassified non-coding RNA is filed under the name Exaiptasia diaphana. RNAcentral describes it as "uncharacterized LOC114575077, transcript variant X6". Lineage: Eukaryota; Metazoa; Cnidaria; Anthozoa; Actiniaria; Aiptasiidae. The record is from RNAcentral.
AGGCCUCAGAAUUUGUAAUCAACAGCUGCAGGGAAGAUCAACUACGACUGAUGUAAUGGAAGGAGUGACUUUGGAAAGUUUUGUUACUAUCUUUAGAACACAACAACGGCAAGGUAAUGCUAUCUAUUCAUGGUAUAACUGAACCUUAUUUGUCAAGAUUAGUAAGUCACUUACGGCAAGUCUGUUGCGCAAGAGAAUAUGCUGUCAAAUAAAGCAGCGGUACUGCUUUUUAGCAGAGGCGCUCUGGCUUUUUAGCUUUUUAGGNUACGAUUGCGUCACGCCAUCACACGCACUGAAUUNAGGGACCAUACUGUAAGCACUCAAGGAUUUAUAAUCAACUUGAAUUGGUUUCUUUUUAUGAAUUAAAGACUGGUCGACUAGAAAAUUAUGUUUUUCCGAAGGGUGGGCUUGCAGAUACAUGCCUCUUUCCAAGACAAGAUACUGGCCCUGCAGUGGGACUUGCAGAUGGAAGGCUCUUUGCCACGCAAGAGUCUGGUCCUGCAGACGUGCUUGCAGAUCAUGUAUGGCUCACCACACAUGAGACUGGCCCUGCA